GCCUACCAUGGUUUUAACGGGUAACGGGGAAUAAGGGUUCGAUUCCGGAGAGGGAGCCUGAGAAACGGCUACCACAUCCAAGGAAGGCAGCAGGCGCGCAAAUUACCCAAUCCCGACACGGGGAGGUAGUGACAAUAAAUAACAAUACAGGGUCCUUUUGGGUCCUGUAAUUGGAAUGAGUACAAUUUAAAUCUCUUAACGAGGAACAAUUGGAGGGCAAGUCUGGUGCCAGCAGCCGCGGUAAUUCCAGCUCCAAUAGCGUAUAUUAAAGUUGUUGCAGUUAAAAAGCUCGUAGUUGAAUUUCGGGAUUAGUACGUUGGUCGUGCCUUAGGUACGUACUGGUGUUACUGGUUCCUACCUUCUGACGAACCAUCAUGUCAUUAAUUUGGUGUGGCGGGGAAUCAGGACUGUUACUUUGAAAAAAUUAGAGUGUUUAAAGCAGGCUCGCGCUUGAAUACAUUAGCAUGGAAUAAUGAAAUAGGACGUUGACCCUAUUUUGUUGGUUUCUAGGAUUGACGUAAUGAUUAAUAGGGAUAGUUGGGGGCAUUAGUAUUCAAUUGUCAGAGGUGAAAUUCUUGGAUUUAUUGAAGACUAACUACUGCGAAAGCAUUUGCCAAGGAUGUUUUCAUUAAUCAAGAACGAAAGUUAGGGGAUCGAAGACGAUCAGAUACCGUCGUA
Molecule: ribosomal RNA, 678 nt
Filed under: uncultured Glomus
Lineage: Eukaryota; Fungi; Glomeromycota; Glomeromycetes; Glomerales; Glomeraceae
Description: SSU rRNA
Rfam family: Eukaryotic small subunit ribosomal RNA
Source: RNAcentral